Molecule: non-coding RNA, 148 nt
Organism: Brachypodium distachyon (stiff brome)
Lineage: Eukaryota; Viridiplantae; Streptophyta; Magnoliopsida; Poales; Poaceae
Source: Rfam
GGCCCGAUGCCACGUCUCCGAUAGCUUCUAGCAUUGACCGGAGAUGCUACAUUGGGCCGAGAAAGAGUUGCAAGACGUUUCACAUUUUGAUAGGAACCUGUGGCUGUUAUUCAGUCGGUACACAGAGCCGGUUGUUGUGAUUAUAUUU